This 497-nucleotide ribosomal RNA is filed under the name uncultured bacterium. Its description in RNAcentral is "partial 16S ribosomal RNA". It matches the Rfam family "Bacterial small subunit ribosomal RNA", at positions 28 to 507 of the family's 1533-position model. The record is from RNAcentral.
GAUGAACGCUGGCGGCGUGCCUAAUACAUGCAAGUCGAGCGAACGGACGAGAAGCUUGCUUCUCUGAUGUUAGCGGCGGACGGGUGAGUAACACGUGGAUAACCUACCUAUAAGACUGGGAUAACUUCGGGAAACCGGAGCUACUACCGGAUAAUAUUUUGAACCGCAUGGUUCAAAAGUGAAAGACGGUCUUGCUGUCACUUAUAGAUGGAUCCGCGCUGCAUUAGCUAGUUGGUAAGGUAACGGCUUACCAAGGCAACGAUGCAUAGCCGACCUGAGAGGGUGAUCGGCCACACUGGAGCUGAGACACGGUCCAGACUCCUACGGGAGGCAGCAGUAGGGAAUCUUCCGCAAUGGGCGAAAGCCUGACGGAGCAACGCCGCGUGAGUGAUGAAGGUCUUCGGAUCGUAAAACUCUGUUAUUAGGGAAGAACAUAUGUGUAAGUAACUGUGCACAUCUUGACGGUACCUAAUCAGAAAGCCACGGCUAACUACGUG